AGGACAGUAAUGCUUCCAAGCUAGAGGCAUUCAAGGAGUGGCCCAGAGAACAUGUCAUUCAGGGCCUGGAAGAUUUCCAUCAGCAUUCAGGUUCUGCAGGGGAUGGGGAUGCUGAGUAAGUGAGACACGUUUCUACAGCUUCUAGCCUGCCCAGUGCCUGCAAUGACAUCGCUGUUGCUGAUGAAGACUUACUGUUCUCAAGUGCUUAUCACACUGGGAGGAUGGCAACUGGGCAAAGCAGACACAGAAGGACAUCAUGCUGCUGACUCGUGGCUUCAGACUCUCAGUCUCCUGUAUUCCUUCCUCCUGCAAUUGCAGGGGGUGCACAAAACAUUUGCAGGCAUGAACGCAGUGAAGCAAAUAGUUGUUCUUAGGAACAAUUUCCCUUGGAGUCUUUCACAGACACCUGGAGCAAACUGGUGCUCAG
Molecule: long non-coding RNA, 427 nt
Organism: Homo sapiens (human)
Lineage: Eukaryota; Metazoa; Chordata; Mammalia; Primates; Hominidae
Source: Ensembl